ACAGGUAGUCAAGAUGAGAAUUCUAAGGUGAGCGAGCGAACUCUCGUUAAGGAACUCGGCAAAAUGACCCCGUAACUUCGGGAGAAGGGGUGCUCUUUAGGGUUAACGCCCAGAAGAGCCGCAGUGAAUAGGCCCAAGCGACUGUUUAUCAAAAACACAGGUCUCUGCUAAACCGUAAGGUGAUGUAUAGGGGCUGACGCCUGCCCGGUGCUGGAAGGUUAAGAGGAGUGGUUAGCUUCUGCGAAGCUACGAAUCGAAGCCCCAGUAAACGGCGGCCGUAACUAUAACGGUCCUAAGGUAGCGAAAUUCCUUGUCGGGUAAGUUCCGACCCGCACGAAAGGCGUAACGAUUUGGGCACUGUCUCAACGAGAGACUCGGUGAAAUCAUAGUACCUGUGAAGAUGCAGGUUACCCGCGACAGGACGGAAAGACCCCGUGGAGCUUUACUGUAGCCUGAUAUUGAAAUUCGGCACAGCUUGUACAGG
This 484-nucleotide ribosomal RNA is filed under the name Staphylococcus aureus. Its description in RNAcentral is "partial 23S ribosomal RNA". It matches the Rfam family "Bacterial large subunit ribosomal RNA", at positions 1659 to 2142 of the family's 2925-position model. The record is from RNAcentral. Lineage: Bacteria; Bacillati; Bacillota; Bacilli; Caryophanales; Staphylococcaceae.